RNAcentral lists this ribosomal RNA (322 nucleotides) under uncultured eukaryote. RNAcentral's name for it is "partial 18S ribosomal RNA". It matches the Rfam family "Eukaryotic small subunit ribosomal RNA", at positions 1470 to 1796 of the family's 1831-position model. The record is from RNAcentral.
CCCUUAGACGUUCUGGGCCGCACGCGUGCUACACUGAGUGGAUCAGCGGGUCAGGUUGCGCGAAAGCGUUUCCUAAUCUUUAAAUCCGCUCGUGAUGGGGAUUGACGGUUGCAAUUUUCUGUCAUGAACGAGGAAUACCUUGUAAGCGCGGGUCAUCAUCCCGCGCUGAAUACGUCCCUGCCCUUUGUACACACCGCCUGUCGCUCCUACCGAUUGAGUGGUCCGGUGAGGCUUUGGGAUCUGAGCGGAAAGAGCGUUUCGCUGUUUCUGCUCGGAAAACUCAGUCGAACCUUAUCAUUUAGAGGAAGGAGAAGUCGUAACA